GACGUAGGGCGCAAGCGUUGUCCGGAUUUAUUGGGCGUAAAGAGCUCGUAGGCGGCUUGUUGCGUCGACUGUGAAAAACCACGUCUCAACCGUGGGACUGCAGUCGAUACGGGCAGGCUAGAGUGUGGUAGGGGAGACUGGAAUUCCUGGUGUAGCGGUGAAAUGCGCAGAUAUCAGGAGGAACACCGAUGGCGAAGGCAGGUCUCUGGGCCACUACUGACGCUGAGAAGCGAAAGCGUGGGGGAGCGAACAGG
RNAcentral lists this ribosomal RNA (254 nucleotides) under uncultured bacterium. RNAcentral describes it as "partial 16S ribosomal RNA". It matches the Rfam family "Bacterial small subunit ribosomal RNA", at positions 524 to 776 of the family's 1533-position model. The record is from RNAcentral.